AUGCUUCUCCAGCUGUGAGACUGGAAGAACUCUGCCUUGAAGGCCCAAAGCAAUUAUGAAUGCAAGAAUCAGUGGUUGCAAGAAGCUAUGAUGAAACUGGAGUAAAAAUGCCUUCUAAUCAAGAAAGUGUUGGGGGAAGGUGGUGGGAGGGUUGUUACCACAUAAAUUCCACACUCAGUACAGCACUGGGACACUGGCUAGUCAAUAUUCAAAGAAAAACUAAAAAUUAAGAUAUUUGGAAUGUGCUAGAUGAAAAUAAACCCUGAAGAAUGGGCCUAGCGCCACUGCAAAUUUUGAACUCCCCAAGAUAGCAGGAUUAUUUUAAUGCUACACACUGAGAGAGAAGAAUUUUUCUUCAAGCUAGAGAAUUUAAAUAGUGCCAUAAUUAAUUCCAUGGUGAGAUCUUUCUCCUUACUGAAUUUUAAUCCACAAGUCUUGAAGGCUAGACCCCUGGGAGAGAAUAAUUGGCAAAGUGGUGAGCCAGAAGUACAGAUUUUUUUCUUGAUUUGUAUCUACCCUCCAUUGCUCAGAUAUCAUUAAGUCCUAGGCAAGAGUAAUGUGGGUCGGGUUUAAUUGUGUUUUUGGAACCUUCUUUUUGCUUGGGGUAACUGCUUUCAGGCCUGGGGAUUGGCUUAUUGUCUUCAUUUUGUGAGUGUGUGGCUUAAUGCUAAGAUAUUCCUUUGUUCCCAGUGUAUGUUUUAGACUUUUUACAAAUGGAAGCACAUAAGAGACUUGGCAGGAAUAAUCCAAUCUCAGAGGCACUGUAGAGCAUCAGCCUUUCCAGGGAGAGACAGACAGGUUGAAGCUGUUGAAAUUCUUCAACUUCACUCUGGCGUCUGAUUUAGCCUUCUGUGCUCUGGCUGAGAAUUAGCAGGAUUAAAAAAAAAAAUGGCAAUGAUGAUUUCUGGACUAAAAUGAAGAUUUUGGACUGUCUUUGAACUUAAUCUUUAACGUCAAGAUACUCUUGUUUUGGAAUUGUUUUUAUUUACGUAUUAACCUGAGAAUUAGGAUCUUUGAAUUCUGUGGACUUACUCCAUAGGCUCUUAUCUCGGCACUUUAGUUUCUCCCAGGUAUAGGGUAAUGAGGGGUGUUUAGAUUUCAGUUUGGAUUAUUUCUGUAUUGCUGACACCUUGGUCUUAGAGCGUUUUUAUGCUGUCAUUUUACUGAACAGGGUAACUUGUGGUGAAGUCACCUUGUACAUUGUGGCUAGUCUUACUUCAAGAAGAAGUAAAAUAAGAGUAAGGAAUACUUUUCUGCUCUAGGGAACAGCAGCAUCUUCAUUUGAUAUAUGGUAGUGACCCACUUUAGACCCCCAUGGGGACAAAAGCCAAACUUCUCCUGGGAGCAGAAGGAAAUUCAAACAGCAGUAGUGGGUAAUAGGGGCAUGGACUCAGAAAAGAUGAAUGGGAUGGGCUUCGUAGAAUGCUGCUCACCUCUUCUGGGAGGAAUAUUCACACGGCCGGUGGAACACAGACUCUAGAGUGAAGUACUAUCAUUCAAGAAAACAACAAGCUGAAAUGUAAAAAGAAGGAUUUCUAGUUUUCGGACCUCAGGUUUCCAUGUGGGAUGGCUUCCUGUAGAGUAACACACCUGCUCGCUCUCUCCACAUCUCACUUAUUCUCUUUCCUUACAUAAAUGAAUUGUAUAUUGUAUUGGGGGGGUUCAAAGAAAUAUUUGGGCAUGACUAGCCCACUUGUAGUGGACUAAAUAGUACCACCCCUCCCAAUUCAUGUCUACCCAGAACCUAAGAAGGUGACCUUUUUUUUUUUUUUUUUUUUGGAAAUACAGUUUUUUUUUUUUUUUCAGAUAUUAUCAAGUUAAAAAAAGGUCAUGCUAGAUUAGAGUGGGCUCUAAAUCCAUUGACUGGUGUCCUCAUCAGAAGAGAGGAUGCACAGUGCCAUCAGAGAAGCAGGCACAACUUAGAGGGAUGCAUCUGGAAGGUGAGGAGCACCAAGAGUUGCUGGAGACCCCAGGUGCAGGCAAGGAAGGAUUCUUCUCUAGAGUCUUCAGAGGGUCUUCAGAGGGAGCAUGGCCCUUCUGACACUUUGCUCUCAGAUUUCUAGUCUCCAGAGCUGUGGGGGAAUAAAGCUCUGCUGUCCUAAGCCAUCAAGUUCAUGGUGAUUUGUUACAACAACCCUGGGAAACAGCUCCAUCAUCUUUCUUUUUGGAUCAAGGUCUGUCUUCAAGAAGCAUACGUGCUGGUCUGGUCUCUGCCACGUGGUCAUCUAGCUUUGUCUAUGAGGAGUGUUGAAUCUGUCUAAUUCAGGUUCAGCAAUUAAUUUUCCCAAAUGCAAUUAAUUAUCAUUUAAUAUAUAAAACAUGUAAUAAUAAUGGCUAAUGUUCCAAUGUAACUGAUUUUCGUAACAAAAUGGAUAUAGUUUCUAAUCAAACUGAACAGAAAAGUGUUGUCUAGAAGAAAGCCCCUACCUUGGAUGCUUUUUCAUCAUAGUUUGUGUCUCCGUUCUCUCUUUAUAACUUGUGGGACUACAAAGCAGGCCUUUCAAGUGUUAGUGAAUUUGUGAGGGAAAAUCGGUUUAAAAAAUGUAGCAACGAUAUGUACGUUCUCAGUUCUACAAGGAGAAAUGAUUCUAUUCUGCUGCCCUCCUCAGGGGAAAUGGCAAAGGUGAAAAAUGCGAAGGAUGCAGCAGGCAUUGUUAGCUUUGUAAACUGACAUGUCGAAUUCCCUACUUUGCUGUACAUUUUCUCCUCACUUUCUCUGUAGUUGAUUGAAUGAGAAAGUACCUGUCCUGGCUUCAGACACUAAAUAAGUUGGAGAAACUGUUGAAAAUACUGCCUUAAGGUAUACAUGUACCAUGUUAUAAUACUUGAAAAUAUGAAGACACAUAUACAUUUAUUUAUAUAUAACAUUAGUAAAUAUAUUGUAAAGAUAUACUAUUAUAUGUACUUAUAUUUGUAAAUGAAUACAGCCUAUUAUUUUAGUGAAAUAUUAAAUUUCCACUUGCAUUUUAUCUUACUAGUUAUGUUCAAACUAAAGCUUAAGCAUGCUUUCUGGUUCAUGCGAUUCUGAAUAAAAAGUUUCUCAGUGGUAAAUAACUCACCAAAAAUAGUUCUGCCUCUAUUAAAGCACCAUCACACUGUAUUACAGGUAUUUAUUCAUCUGAUUUCCCCUUCUUAAGAGAAAUAAGGGACAAUGUUUUGUCUCUAUAAUUUAGUUUUAUCCCUUAGAGCCUACCAUAAAGUGGGUGUUGAAAACUUUGUAAGUUUUAGGGGAAAAAAAAUGAAUGGAUUAAUGAUGUCAGCAAACUCUGUUUCCAAAUAUCUUAACUGCUUCCAGACCUGUUGAUAUUAAAUGUCUUUAAAAUUUGUUAAUGGAAUCCAGUAUUAUCCUCCACUCUCCACUAACUCUCCAAAAUUUGAAUACCAGCUAGUGACAGAAUGAGACAGUCACCAUUUCAAUGGCACUUCUAUUCAUCGACCUUACAAAUAAGACCUCAUAUUCACUAAGAAUGCACUCACUGUAAGGUGAGUCACUUAAUCCUGACUGAAUACCAGGAAGAAGGAUUACAAAAGUUAUUGUGCCAGUAAUGCUAUUGUUUGUCCACUUGCUGUGACCUAAAAUGUUUUCAUUUAUGAAGGACAAGUGGGGGAGGCUAAAACUGGCAUAAUGCUUUCAUAUAUGAUCCUAUUUAAAGUGAAGAAGUCCCUGCUUGUAAAUUUCAUGGGACACAACUGAGGGAAAUAGUCUCUGUAAGGAAAUUCAUUUCCAAAACAGAUGUACAUUUAACUAUGAGCAUUAUCUGCUAAAGGGAGGCCUCAUCAUGAAUCUGUGGCAGAUUUGUUCUUACUAAUGCUUACAACAAACAAGGAUAGACUGCCAGGUGACCUAACAGGGACUGACUAGUUCAUGUCUUCUCAGCAAAGACCCAGAACUGUGCACUGAGAGAAUGACAGGGAUAAUCAGAUAAGCACAUUAUUUGGAGAUCUGAAAGCAGGAUAAUUUGAUUGGGGCUGGAAUCGAAUAGUUACAUAGGAUAGUAAAAUGAAGGAUAUUAGCUGACCAGGGGCAAGUCAUCUAGGAAAACCAGGAAAUGAGAACAUCAGAGUUGCUCAGAAACCAUACACAGAGGAUUUAAGGGGAUUUCUAUGAAUGACAGCUGAAUAUGGUAUAAAAUGAUGGCUAAGCUACCUACACAAAUACAGAUACAGCCUAGUAUGAUCAGGGUAAAAUAAUGCUGAGACUCUUAUGGGUUAUCCCACCCCUUUCGGGUCCUGCAGAAGUGUCACAAUUAUGUAGUCUUAUCUCAAUCAGCAGACUAACCUUCAUGCCAACCCCAUAAAAAGUCACACCUGACUCCCUUUGUUCUUAGUUCUGCCUCGAGUCCUUACACUGACCCAACACCCCUUCACCUUCCAGUUCUGUUCCUCAUGUUUCUGACCUCUGACCUUGUGACUCCUUUUCCGAUGAUAGUUCCAACUGUUUCCAGACUUAACCUCAGCAUUGCUGCCAAUGGUAUUUUUGUUUUGUUUUGUUCGUUACCGAGAGAUGGAUUUCUUCUUUGUCUCAGCUGCCAUGAGUUACUCUGUAAAUAACCUGAAUGAUCCAGCCAAGAUUUGAGACCUUGUCUAUCACCACAUACCCUUGAAGACAGGUGUACAUGAUAUUUUCAGAGGAACCAGCUCAUGAGAGAACACUCAAAUUGGAGACAAUUUCUGGGUAGAACUUCUAACUUCAAACCUGAGCCCCACAUUUAUUAUAGUGAUAAGGAUAUGGUAAAGACACCUUUCAAUAUGGCAAAAUUUCUACAUUUCUGUUCUCACAGGAAGGUCCAAAGCUCAUUUAGCUCUUCAAAUUAAUACAUAAUCUAUAAUCAUUUUGCUCCUCAUAUCUGGAUGGGAAAGAUGUUUAAUGGAUAAAUAAGAAUGUUUCUGUUUGUUGGUCUCUUUAUACGUCAUAGGAAAGGGUGCUUUUUUACUCCAACUCAAUCUUUUCUUGGUAUUGUUAUCAAUCAUGUUUGGAUCCCCCAACUUCAUAUUCUUGAAACUUUUAAAAAAUACCUUCCUGAGAAUUUGGAUGAGAGGCAAAAGUCAAGUGUGGGGAAGUCAAGAUCUAUCUCAGACCAAGUGUUGGUGUCAAUCAUCAUAAGACUUUCGAGGUCGUUUGAUUUCAUUCCUUCCAGAAAAGCCACUGUUUCCAUUCAAAUUCCUGCCAGCCAGUUUUUUAGCCUCUGCUUGCACUUUACAAGUAUCAUUUUUCUAGAUUAUAAUUCACUUUUCACGUUCACCAUGGAAUAAAUGGUAGAGAAAAGAGAUGGGAAAGAUCACAUGCUUCAGUCCUGAAACAUGAUCAACCAUGGAAACCCAGGGGCCUUAUUGAUUUAGUAUUAGUUUGAGGGGAGGGACCUUACUGGGUGUGUCUUUAACACAGAUAUUUUAAGUGUGACAAAAAGAUCUUGGAAUGGACAAAAUGUAAUAUCUAUGAAUUGUUGAUCAUGGUUUACUGUGUCAAGCACUGUGCUAGGUACAUACGGCAUGCAUUAACUCAUUUAUUCUUGAUAAUUCUGUGUUUAUCCAUCUUGCAAAUGAAAAAACAGUUUGUUAUACAUAAUGCACUUGCUCAAGGUUACCAAGCCAGUAAUGGAUAGUCCCAUGUUCUUUAAACUCAACACCAAGCUCGUGCUUUCUCGCUGGAGCGAUAGUAGAUGAAAUCUCUCAUUUACUAGCCUUAAGACCGCUGAAUGGAACUGGAGUUUACAUGAUUUCCUUGAAUACAAGCAUCUGCUCCAAUGGCUUCUAAAUAAUUUACUCCCCAAAUUACACAUUUUUCAUUGCCUAAGAUCAUCGAAUUCUCAAAAUUUAGACCCAAAGUUCCACUGAAACCACAGAAUCUUAUCUGUUGACUGCUCAUGUUUUCUUAAUCCUACUGAAUACUUUUCUGACCUCCAAUUCCUUGAAAUCCCUCGUUUUCUUUUCACCUAUGCCCUUAUGUAUCUUCACUUUCUUUUCUACUGAAGUUGAAUCCACUCACCCAUCUCCACAUGUGCUCUUUCACCAAAAACUUUUCUGUGGUAUCCCUCUGCCUCUCUAUUUUGCCAGUUCAGUUCUCAAUUAAUCACUGCUUGCUCUAACACUGUUCAGAAAACCAUACCACCUUUCUAACUGUAUCAUGGCAAGGAUCUAGGAUCCACCAGCACCCCUGAGAGGGUUGUUUUGUUUUUGUUUUUGUUUUUGUUUUUGUGUGUGUGUGCUCUCCUACUUACCUUCCUUUCGCAUGUCUCAUAGUGUUUCUUCCAAACUCUAAUUAUUGUUAUUGGUUCCUUAUUCCAAGCCUGCCUUAUUCUUAGUAGAAGAGCUUGUUUCCUAAUUUCCAGAGAAAAUAGAAGACUAAGGCCCUUCCCCCAUGUACUUGUGUCAGUCACCCUAAGUAUCUACAAGACUCACUCCCUCACCUCUUUUAAGACAUGUCUUCCCCCCACCCAAUUCCAACCACCCUAUUUAAAUUAAAAGCAUCUUCUUCCUCGGCUGACUUGGUCCUCAGGUUUCUUCUUAAAGCAAUCACUUUCUAACACACUCUCUCAUAUAUAUAUAUAAAUAAACAUAUAUAUAAUGUUUAUUGUUAUUGUUUAUCUCCACCAGGUAGAAUAUAAGCUCCCCUGGAAGCUUUGUCUAUUUAGUACACUGAUGUACUUCAAGCACCUAAAACAGUACCUGGCUUGUGGUAGGGACCAGUAAAUAUUUGUUGGGUGAAUGAACAAAUAUGCACAAAUAUUUUGGUCCCUCACUUUCUUCCCUCUCAUAGGAAGAGGUUACUUUACCCAUCUCUAUGUAUGACAAAUCUGGAUAACUGCUACUGCAGAAAAGAUCGGGAAGAUGAUAUAAUUUGCUUGUUUACAUCUAAAUUAUGACUUUAUAAGAGAGCACUAAGGUUGCAUACUUGACAUCCAGUACAAGAAAUUUUCCCCUGUCAUUCCUUUUUCUACCUAACUAGGUCAAGGGCAGCAAAUGCAUUUGCUGACUCCCUCACCUCUGAUUAUCUCUCCGUAAAUCUGGACCAAACACAUAUCACUGCUGUACUCAAUCUCUGUCACUAAAUACACUUCCAAAACAACUGGCCUCCAGGUUGACCCAAAGGAACUGACUUCUGCUGUAUUUCAUUUUCUGUGAUAGCUUUGGCCAAUGUCUUUUGUCAAUACAAGUGAAUUUUGUGCUGAUUAUAGUCUACCAGAGACUUCAUUGACACCAGCAAGUACAUUUCUCUUUGGAACACAAGUCAAACUUGUGUUAAAGUCCCCAGUGAACAAGAAUAGUUGAGUGUGGAGCAGUAAUGUAAUCGACUAUUAUCCCCUUUGGCUAAAAACUGUUCACAUGGAAUCCACAGCCUGCAAAAUACAAUGCAAACACAUGCUAAUUACCUAUUUCCUGGGAUAAAAUAUGAUUAUAAAAAAUACUCUGUCAAGUAGACUGUAACUACAAAUACUGCAUUCCCAUACUUUGUCAGAGAACCCUUCUUAGAAGAUCUACUGCCUAUACCCUGAGGGCGUAAGUCCCACCGAACAAAUACAUCUUUUGGUAAUAUUUGAAAAUGUUAUUAUGGCCUGCCUUCUCAUUGUCCUUAAAAACAAACAAAUAAAACACAGUAGUUGUGUUCAGUCUAGUUUUGUGGUUGUCUUUAAUCCUUUUGUUGAUUCCUAUCUUUACCUGAAGUUGGUUUCAUUUUGUCUGUGCCAAAAGAUCUUUUUGAUUUUUAAGUCAAAUAUUGUAUGAAGUAGAAACAUGAUUGUGUGUUUUUUUGUAAUACUCUAUAUUUUUUUUAAAAAAGAGCAAUGAUUCAAUCUGCAACCUUUAUGUGUUGCUUAAAAGGAAUGAGGGCCAUCUGUUUGUCUGCUAUGAGGGUAAGGGAUUGAAGCAAUUUGUGGUUAAAUAAAUUAGGUGUGGAAUUGCUUUCUUUAUUGUUUCCACUGAACAAGUCUUUUCUAGCUUUUUUUUCCUCUUUAAAUAAACUAUUGGAUUAGAGACCCCACUUCACUUAGACUAUGACAAGGCUAAACUAACAGUCAAUUUCCAAAUCACAAAUGGAUUUUGUCAUUAAAAUGUGUUUGCUAAGUUCUUUUGGUUCUGUGACCCACUAAUAAAUUUUUACAUAGAAAUGCAUUCCUAGAGUUCCUUCUGUGGCUCGGUAGUUAGUGAACCCAACUAGUAUCCAUGAGGAUGCAUGUUCAAUUCCUGGUCUCACUCAGUGGGUUAAGGAUCUGGCCUGGCUGUGAGCUGUGGUGUGGGUUGCAGAUGUGGCUCAAAUCCCAUGUUGCUUGGCUGUGGCUGUGGCUGUGGCAUGGGCUGGUAGCUUCAGCUCUGAUUGGACCCCUAGCCUGCAAAUCUCCAUAUGCCACAAGUGUGGC
RNAcentral lists this long non-coding RNA (8354 nucleotides) under Sus scrofa (pig). RNAcentral's name for it is "lncRNA (ENSSSCG00000054723.1)". The record is from RNAcentral. Lineage: Eukaryota; Metazoa; Chordata; Mammalia; Artiodactyla; Suidae.